CGGCACGCCUAACACAUGCAAGUCGAACGAAGUAGCAAUACUUAGUGGCAGACGGGUGAGUAGCAUGUAGGUAUCUGCCCUUUGGCCUGGAAUAACACGAGGAAACUUGUGCUAAUACCGGAUAAGUCUUUACGGAGAAAGCUUUAUGCACCAUUGGAUGAGCCUGCACUUGAUUAGUUUGUUGGUGGGGUAAUGGCCUACCAAGACUGUGAUCAAUAGCUGAUUUGAGAGGAUGAUCAGCCACAUUGGGACUGAGACACGGCCCAAACUCCUACGGGAGGCAGCAGUGGGGAAUCUUGCACAAUGGAGGAAACUCUGAUGCAGCGAUGCCGCGUGAGUGAAGAAGGCCUUUGGGUUGUAAAGCUCUUUCGUCGGGGAAGAAAAUGACUGUACCCGAAUAAGAAGGUC
RNAcentral lists this ribosomal RNA (408 nucleotides) under uncultured bacterium. Its description in RNAcentral is "bacterial SSU rRNA". It matches the Rfam family "Bacterial small subunit ribosomal RNA", at positions 40 to 493 of the family's 1533-position model. The record is from RNAcentral.